AACAAAAGUAAUAAAAAUGUUUCAGUACAAAUUCUUGUUCUUAUUUUUACUAUUUCACAUGUUCCUGAUCGAUUUGAUGAAUUCUCUCGAGUAUCAUAUACAAACCUCAAAUGUCUAUUCUCAUACUCUCGAAAGUCAUAAAUGCACUCGAAUAUCAAUCAUCAUUUUAAAAUAUAAUCGAACACACAAAAGAUUAUAGAUACACUCGAAUAUCGU
This 216-nucleotide long non-coding RNA is filed under the name Carica papaya (papaya). RNAcentral describes it as "long non-coding RNA (CPAP_LNC003179)". Lineage: Eukaryota; Viridiplantae; Streptophyta; Magnoliopsida; Brassicales; Caricaceae. The record is from RNAcentral.